Molecule: ribosomal RNA, 468 nt
Filed under: uncultured bacterium
Lineage: Bacteria
Description: partial 16S ribosomal RNA
Rfam family: Bacterial small subunit ribosomal RNA
Source: RNAcentral
GACGAACGCUGGCGGCGCGCCUAACACAUGCAAGUCGAACGGACGGGCCAUGGCUUUGUUUGUUGCUCGAGUGGCGAACGGGUGAGUAACACGUGAGUAACCUGCCCUAGACUUUGGGAUAACUUCUGGAAACUACUGCUAAUACCGCAUAGGAGCUCCACCCGCAAUGGGGGGGAGGGAAAGGUUGGGCGCCUGGGGGUGGUCUCGCGGCGUAUCAGCUUGUUGUUGGGGUAGUGACUUACCAAGGCUUUGACGGGUGGUCGGCCUGGGAGGGUGAGCGGCCACAUUGGGACUGAGAUACGGCCCAGACUACUACGGGAGGCAGCAGUGGGGAAUAUUGCACAAUGGGCGGAAGCCUGAUGCAGCAACGCCGCGUGCGGGAGGACGGCAUUCGGGUUGUAAACCGCUUUCGCCUGUGACGAAGCGUGAGUGACGGUAAUGGGUAAAGAAGUACCGGCUAACUACGUG